GGUCCCGUCGUCUAGUGGUCUAGGACGCCGGCCUCUCAAGCCGGUAACGCCAGUUCGAAUCUGGUCGGGACUGCCA
RNAcentral lists this transfer RNA (76 nucleotides) under Acidimicrobiia bacterium. RNAcentral describes it as "tRNA-Glu". It matches the Rfam family "tRNA". From Rfam's summary of the family: Transfer RNA (tRNA) molecules are approximately 80 nucleotides in length. Their secondary structure includes four short double-helical elements and three loops (D, anti-codon, and T loops). Lineage: Bacteria; Bacillati; Actinomycetota; Acidimicrobiia. The record is from RNAcentral.